CUUGAACUAGGCAAAAUGGCACCGUAACUUCGGGAGAAGGUGCACCGCUUUUGAUGAUGGGAUUUACUCCCUAAGCUGAGGGCGGUCGAAGAUACCAGGCCCCUGCAACUGUUUAUUAAAAACACAGCACUCUGCAAACACGUAAGUGGAGGUAUAGGGUGUGACGCCUGCCCGGUGCCGGAAGGUUAAUUGAUGGGAUUAGCGCAAGCGAAGCUCUUGAUCGAAGCCCCGGUAAACGGCGGCCGUAACAAUAACGGUCCUAAGGUAGCGAAAUUCCUUGUCGGGUAAGUUCCGACCUGCACGAAUGGCGUAAUGAUGGGGGCGCCGUCUCCACCCGAGACUCAGUGAAAUUGAAAUCGCGGUUAAGAUGCCGUGUACCCGCGGCUAGACGGAAAGACCCCGUGAACCUUUACUAUAGCUUUGCACUGAACUUUGAACCUAUCUGUGUAGGAUAGGUGGGAGGCUUUGAAGUCGAGACGCUAGUUUCGAUGGAGCCGUCCUUGAAAUACCACCCUGGUAUGUUUGAGGUUCUAACGUCGGCCCCUUAUCGGGGCUACGGACAGUGUAUGGUGGGUAGUUUGACUGGGGCGGUCUCCUCCCAAAGAGUAACGGAGGAGCACGAAGGUGUGCUAAUCAUGGUCGGAAAUCAUGAGGUUAGUGUAAAGGCAAAAGCACGCUUGGCUGCGAGACAGACAUGUCGAGCAGGUACGAAAGUAGGUCUUAGUGAUCCGGUGGUUCUGUAUGGAAGGGCCAUCGCUCAACGGAUAAAAGGUACUCCGGGGAUAACAGGCUGAUACCGCCCAAGAGUUCACAUCGACGGCGGUGUUUGGCACCUCGAUGUCGGCUCAUCACAUCCUGGAGCUGAAGCCGGUCCCAAGGGUAUGGCUGUUCGCCAUUUAAAGUGGUACGCGAGCUGGGUUUAGAACGUCGUGAGACAGUUCGGUCCCUAUCUGCCGUGGGCGAUGGAGAUUUGAGAAGAGUUGUUCCUAGUACGAGAGGACCGGAAUGAACGAACCUCUGGUGUUCGGGUUGUCAUGCCAAUGGCAUUGCCCGGUAGCUGCGUUCGGACGGGAUAACCGCUGAAAGCAUCUAAGCGGGAAGCCUCCUUCAAGAUGAGAUCUCCCUGGGACUUUAAGUCCCCUAAAGAGCCGUUGAAGACUACGACGUUGAUAGGUUGGGUGUGGAAGCGCAGCGAUGCGUUGAGCUAACCAAUACUAAUUGCUCGUGCGGCUUGACCG
This 1238-nucleotide ribosomal RNA is filed under the name metagenome. Its description in RNAcentral is "bacterial LSU rRNA". It matches the Rfam family "Bacterial large subunit ribosomal RNA", at positions 1707 to 2925 of the family's 2925-position model. The record is from RNAcentral.